CAGAGCGGGGCGUGGGUUUGUAAUGUGGUCAUGCUCAACUGCAUUUCCCCUGACCACAGUGCAAAAGCCAUGCACCGCUGUU
This 82-nucleotide microRNA precursor is filed under the name Capitella teleta. Its description in RNAcentral is "microRNA cte-mir-2696 precursor". Lineage: Eukaryota; Metazoa; Annelida; Polychaeta; Capitellidae. The record is from miRBase by way of RNAcentral.